AUUGAACGCUGGCGGCAUGCCUUACACAUGCAAGUCGAACGGUAACGCGGGGCAACCUGGCGACGAGUGGCGAACGGGUGAGUAAUAUAUCGGAACGUGCCCAGUAAUGGGGGAUAGCCCGGCGAAAGCCGGAUUAAUACCGCAUGAGACCUGAGGGUGAAAGCGGGGGAUCGCAAGACCUCGCGCUAUUGGAGCGGCCGAUAUCAGAUUAGGUAGUUGGUGGGGUAAAGGCCUACCAAGCCGACGAUCUGUAGCUGGUCUGAGAGGACGACCAGCCACACUGGGACUGAGACACGGCCCAGACUCCUACGGGAGGCAGCAGUGGGGAAUUUUGGACAAUGGGCGCAAGCCUGAUCCAGCCAUGCCGCGUGCGGGAAGAAGGCCU
RNAcentral lists this ribosomal RNA (385 nucleotides) under uncultured bacterium. RNAcentral's name for it is "bacterial SSU rRNA". It matches the Rfam family "Bacterial small subunit ribosomal RNA", at positions 29 to 417 of the family's 1533-position model. The record is from RNAcentral.